This 1624-nucleotide long non-coding RNA is filed under the name Mizuhopecten yessoensis (Yesso scallop). RNAcentral describes it as "uncharacterized LOC110466775, transcript variant X2". Lineage: Eukaryota; Metazoa; Mollusca; Bivalvia; Pectinida; Pectinidae. The record is from RNAcentral.
UAAUUUCUUAACAUGUUUGAACAUAUUUAUAUGCUAAUAUGAAGUGAAACAGUAGAAAAGAGUUAUUUGGCUUCAUUGGGCAAAUGUUGUUUUGAUUAUGUCUAAAACCAUUGAUUUUACACUUUCCUUCAGUCUUUAUUUAUUAUAUCAUUAAAAGGUAACCAUGUAACCAAUCAUAAAACGUUAUACAAGUGGGAAUUCCCAAAGGGUAUCAUAAACUUCCGUAAAAUCCCUACGACGAAAGACGUGCUGUUGCAGAAUCAUAACUGUCUGCCGAAACAGUUGAACUGUAUGGGGUUGCAUCCGCGUUAUCCGAUUUGAACGGUACAGGUGGCACAGAAAUAUUCCACGAUAAACGAAGGCAAAGCUCAUCAUGGCGAUAAUUACUAUCUGUUACACGCAAUCAACAGACGUGAAUCAGCGAGGCGAUGAACCAGUGACGUGACGAUCCAGUAACGUGAACCAGUGGCGUGGACCAGUAACGUUUACCUAAACAUAACAGCUCCUCCCGACAUGUGACUCUGCUAUCCAGUAGACCGAAACAAAAGAAAUGAACCAGUGACGUGAUGACCCAGUGGGCGUGAUUCGUACUAGUAACGAAAAGAACUGGUGACAUGAACGCGUCAGUGACGUGAACCAGUGGCGUGAACCAGUAACGUAUACCUGCGUACUAGUAAUGUUUCACCCGAUACCAAAUGUAAAAUUCACCCUAAUCGUUGCCUGGAAUGGAAAUAAAAAUAAGAAGAUUUUUUAAGUAAUAAACAAACUUACAUCAAUAUAACUUAUCAUGUUAACAUUACCUUAAAAUAUCUAGUUACACCCAAAAGUCGUCUUCAUUCAUUCAUUUGGCUCAACUUUUGAUUUUUAAUAAUUCUCUAAAUUCAUCUGUCUUCUAAGGAUAAAUAAAUAAUUAUGUAUAUAUAUCAAAACGAGCAAUUACUGCUGUUGUUAAUUAGUAGAUUAGAUAAUUACGCUAAUUAGUGCCACGAGGUUCUUUCACUUUUGUGAUAUAUGUAAAUAGAAAUCUCAGACUUAACUAACAUGAAAUGGUGUAUACACACAUAUUGAUUGACACUACACCUACAAUCAUUGAGCCUACGUUUAAACCCAUUACAUAGUGCUGUCAUAACAUUCAAGGUUACUGUGUCCAUGUGCUCAUUAUUUUAACCUACCUUGCAGCGCAGCUGUACGUAAUCUAAAGCUACCGUCGGUUAUUGUAGGUUUUGUCCAAUAAUAGCAAAGUUUCAUAAUUUCUUAAAAUAAAUUUCAACAGCAACCAAUUACGUAUGUGAUAUAUUCGUUUAUAGCGGAAGUUCCAUAUAUUUAUAUAUGUAUUAAUAUAUAUUUCAUCGGUCGACAAAAAUAGCCAUCUUGGAAAUUUCCAACUGUAUGUCAGUUAUCAAAAUGAUUUGAGGAUGAAUUUCAUUGGUCGACAAAAGUAAUUAUUUUACCAGUUUAUUUGUACAAGAACAGUUAACAGUAUGCCAGUCAUAAAAAAGUUGAGCAUAAAUUUCCUUGUUCGACAGAAAAAGUCAUUCUGUCACUGUAAUAUUGAUUGAAACACUCAACAGUAUCUCAGCAAUAAAAAAAGUCGAGGAUGAAUUUCAUUGGUCGACAGAAAUAA